Molecule: long non-coding RNA, 807 nt
Organism: Mauremys reevesii (Reeves's turtle)
Lineage: Eukaryota; Metazoa; Chordata; Testudines; Geoemydidae
Exons: 3
Source: RefSeq, a predicted model, not a curated record
CAGAGCAGAUACGAGUGGGCAGCUACACCUCAAGCUUCCCCUGUACUGUCCUAUGAAUAUGCCUCAACACUGUUCCAUAAGGACCGUCUCUAAGGGCUUGUCUGCAUGAGAAAGUUUUAUACUGGCAUAAGGGACCUUUCCAUCACCUCCAAUGUGACAGUGGACACGUUGUGAGAUCCAGAGGAGAGAACCUCAGCAGUGUCCUGCAAGGAUGAAUUCAUAGAAGGAGGGGGAUGCAGACCCCAUGGAGAGCCAGGACCUGAUCCAGACAAGCCCAGAGAAUGAGCCCAGUGAGGAAGGGGAAGGGAGCACAGGCUAUCCUUAAGAAGCAUUCCUUGAACAGCUGCUGAAAGGCUGGCGUUGAUCAGGAGAAGAAGGAAGCGGACAAGGGAGCAUAUGUUUUCAGAGCUUCUCCAACUCUCAGAGGCUGCUGACUGGGAGAGUAGCGAUUGGAGGGUAAUGCAUGAUGGAGACUGGGCAGAAGGACCAGAACUGGAAUAAUCAUAUGCUCGAAGGCAGAGGGAGUGAGAGGUGCAUCAGGACGCUAUGACUCUGCCUAAACAACAAAUACAGAUGUUGCAGAAUAUUAUGGAGCAAAAUGCCCAAAGACCUCCCAAUCAGCUUUUGCACUUGAACAAUUUGAUGUUCACAAGACCACACACCAAACAAGGCACCAGCAGAGCCUGCCAUCUUAUCCCUACCACUCAACAGUGGUGGAAAUAAGGAAAACUAUGACUAUACAUACCCUGAUCUGCAGGAUCAGUCAGCAAGCGCCUAGCUCUUUGCUAUUUAAUAUAUACAAUAAAA